Molecule: ribosomal RNA, 247 nt
Filed under: uncultured bacterium
Lineage: Bacteria
Description: partial 16S ribosomal RNA
Rfam family: Bacterial small subunit ribosomal RNA
Source: RNAcentral
UACGUAGGGUGCAAGCGUUAAUCGGAAUUACUGGGCGUAAAGCGUGCGCAGGCGGUUUUGUAAGUCUGUCGUGAAAUCCCCGGGCUCAACCUGGGAAUUGCGAUGGAGACUGCAAGGCUAGAAUCUGGCAGAGGGGGGUAGAAUUCCACGUGUAGCAGUGAAAUGCGUAGAGAUGUGGAGGAACACCGAUGGCGAAGGCAGCCCCCUGGGUCAAGAUUGACGCUCAUGCACGAAAGCGUGGGGAGCA